This 83-nucleotide small nuclear RNA is filed under the name Vulpes vulpes (red fox). Lineage: Eukaryota; Metazoa; Chordata; Mammalia; Carnivora; Canidae. The record is from RNAcentral.
GUACUCACUUUGGUAGCAAUAUAUACUAAAAUUGGAACUAUACAGAGAUUAGCAUGGGCCCUUUGCAAAGAUGACACGUAAAA